UUUAAAUAGAGGAAGAUAACUUAUUAAAUAAAGCUGGAGACGGGAGGGAGAGUCAAUAGGGAAAAAAAAGUCUGUAGAAGGAGAAGCAGACACUGGGAGAGAAUGAAGGCAUGAACAUAGGUGGCCUGAGUAUUUCCUUACAAUGGAGAUUCCAAGUGAAAGCUCAGAGGAUGAGGCCACAGGGGUGGAGUAAUUUUCUUUGGUUAGAAGGUCUCAAGAUGAAGCCUCAGGGUAAGAAGGCUACUUCAGCCCAAUAAGGAAAUAAAAUCCAGAGUCAGAAAUAGGACCCAGAGAAGAAUGAAGGAGUGAAGGAGAAAUGAGAAAACCAGAAGGCUAUUACAACAGUCCAGGUCUGAGUUGAUGUGAGCCUACACUGGAGUGGUGGCAACAGAGAGCAUGAGGAGGUUUCAAUGAAGGCACCAAGACUAUGAGAAAGCUGAAACCAUUCUGCUACAGUAUCAUCUGAAUCUGCUGCAUUUUAUCUUAAGUCCACAGAAUGAUGACCUGAAGAUAAAGAAGCUGGUUAUCACAGAAGCACAACUUUUUAAUAUUGAUAAUUUCCCAGCGAUGCUGUAUGACUGCAAGGAUGGAAGAAGGCAACUCAACUUCAGGUUGCUGAAGGAAGUCUUACUUCUUGACACUGGAAGCAACUCGAAACUUGAAGAAGGCACCAAAGAAGAAUGAAGAAGGCUGUGGCUCUUUUGCUCUCGCCAAGUCUCACUCUCCCCUCAUGCAAGGCAAGACAUCCAUCUCCACCAAUGAGGAGAGAAUCUUAUGGCAUUGGUCUUUGUGACUAGAAUUAUGACUAGAAAAGGAGGUGGGCUGGCCCUUUAGUAAGAGAGCAAGUUAACAAAUAAAUGAGGACUGGACUCAUUGGUAUUCACAAAUUGUUGAAAGAACCAGAAGAAGGCAUCUAAUCCCUGGGACACAUUCUAUUUGAAAGAAUUCGAGAAAAAGCAAGGAUAAGAGUCACUUAGAAUUGGUGUGGAAAGGCUGUGAUCAGCAGCAAUGGAGCAAGGGCACACAGAGAGGAAGAAAGAGAGGAAGAAGAAGUUUAACUAUUCUAACACAAACAAGGUUAAGGCUUUUCUUCCUUUCAGGAAGUCUUUACAUGUCAACUAAUUAGUUGAUAAUUGGUUACUAAUUAGUCAACUAAUUUGGUAACAUAAUAGUCUAGGAAAUCCAAGUUCUGGUCUUAAUUUUCCAUCUGUUUCAGAUAUUAAACACCUUCUGUUUCCUAAUUGAACAAAAGGACACAAUAUAUUUUUCAGAGCCAUCUAUUAUUAUGUGGAUUUGUAAAACUAAAACAUUAUCUUUAAAAAUGUAUUUUCCUAAUAAAUAUUUAUUUUUCAAAACAAACAGCCAGUAGGUUUUUUUGUUUUUGUUUUUGUUUUUAGUAACCUGAAUCUGUAUUGAAUGGACAUUUAUGCCAUGCAUUAUUCAAAGCAUAGU
Molecule: long non-coding RNA, 1452 nt
Organism: Phascolarctos cinereus (koala)
Lineage: Eukaryota; Metazoa; Chordata; Mammalia; Diprotodontia; Phascolarctidae
Source: RefSeq, a predicted model, not a curated record